Punica granatum (pomegranate) is the source of this 1048-nucleotide non-coding RNA. The record is from RefSeq and is a predicted model, not a curated record. Lineage: Eukaryota; Viridiplantae; Streptophyta; Magnoliopsida; Myrtales; Lythraceae.
GUUCCCCUCCCCUGCUUCCAUUCUUCGUUCGCUCUCUCAAGCGCACACUGCACAUCGGAAAAUCGCAAAUUCCCCUAACUAUCCAUUUCCUCGGCCUCCCGACGCAUUCCGCAUUGCCGCAAUCUUCUCCGAGCACGGAUCUGGGAGCUUCCUCGUCGAUUCGGAUCUCAAUGCGGUGUUCUCCAUCGUCGAUCUGAGAGUUCUGUUUUUAGCUUGGGGAGAUGUUUGAGAAGCUUCCUCGUCGAUUCGGGAGCUUCCCCGAGCACGGAUCUGGGAGCUUCCUCGUCGAUUCGGAUCUCAAUGCGGUGUUCUCCAUCGUCGAUCUGAGAUAAAUUAUUCUUAAAUAAGAAAUAGCAAUGGUGAGGAGGCAAGUAGGCUCCAGUCGCCGACUUGUUGACAGUGGAAUCCCUUUUGCUGGAUCUUUACAUUCGAAGUCCCGAUUUUCACCGUUGCUAUCAGUUGUUCUUGUCCUUUUGGGAGCAGUCCUGCUUGUUUGCUUUGCCUAUGGCUCAGGUUUAUUUGGAAGAAAGCUGGAAUCAUUUUAGCAAGGUUGAAGGUGACUUCUCAUGCAGACAUUAAGUUCCCUCUCCCUUACAGGCCAAAGUCAUCUUCUCUCGUCAUCGUGUCGGACGCAUUGGAUUAUUUGUCCCCGAAGUAUCUCAGCAGGACUCUUCCUGACCUAGCCAGGGUUUCGGCUGAUAGCAUAGUUAUUUUUACAGGUAUAAACUUGAUCUAUAAACUGGCCCAACUGGACUGGCUGAACUAGGGGUUCUGGUUCAACCGGGAAGCAGCAGCUCUUGAUGGUUGGGUUCCUAAUCAGAUCUGCAGCUGAACAAAUUGAAAGAUUUGGUGUUCUUGCUUUCAGGAUGGGUUCCCCUUUGCUUAAGUUUUUCUUUUUUAAAUUUAUUUCUUAAAAAUAUUAGUAAAUCCAAUUCACUGAAACCAUGAACAUGGCUAAUUCAAUCCCUAGUUUGGUUUUGUAAUCUAUGGGAAUUAUAUACUGCUUGAGACGGUUAUUUUAUUAAAUUCCAUAAGGUUUUUUGCUGGA